GACGAACGCUGGCGGCGUGCUUAACACAUGCAAGUCGAACGGAAAGGCCCUGCUUUUGUGGGGUGCUCGAGUGGCGAACGGGUGAGUAACACGUGAGUAACCUGCCCUUGACUUUGGGAUAACUUCAGGAAACUGGGGCUAAUACCGGAUAGGAGCUCCUGCUGCAUGGUGGGGGUUGGAAAGUUUCGGCGGUUGGGGAUGGACUCGCGGCUUAUCAGCUUGUUGGUGGGGUAGUGGCUUACCAAGGCUUUGACGGGUAGCCGGCCUGAGAGGGUGACCGGCCACAUUGGGACUGGGAUACGGCCCAGACUCCUACGGGAGGCAGCAGUGGGGAAUAUUGCACAAUGGGCGGAAGCCUGAUGCAGCAACGCCGCGUGCGGGAUGACGGCCUUCGGGUUGUAACCCGCUUUCGCCUGUGACGAAGCGGGAGUGACGGUAAUGGGUAAAGAAGCACCGGCUAACUACGUG
RNAcentral lists this ribosomal RNA (468 nucleotides) under uncultured bacterium. RNAcentral describes it as "partial 16S ribosomal RNA". It matches the Rfam family "Bacterial small subunit ribosomal RNA", at positions 28 to 507 of the family's 1533-position model. The record is from RNAcentral.